GAACGAACGCUGGCGGCGUGGAUAAGACAUGCAAGUCGAGCGCUGAUUCAAGGGUAGCAAUAUUCUUGAGUCGGAGCGGCGCAAGGGUGCGUAACACGUGGGUAAUUUGCCAUGAAGUCUGGGAUAACUUGCUGAAAGGCGAGCUAAUACCGGAUGUGAUUUUCGGGAAGCAUUUCCUGAAACUCAAAGGUUGGGGACCGUAAGGCCUGACGCUUCUUGAUAAGCCCGCGGCCUAUCAGCUAGGUUGGUGAGGUAACGGCUCACCAAGGCUAAGACGGGUAGCUGGUCUGAGAGGACGACCAGCCACACUGGAACUGAGACACGGUCCAGACACC
This 335-nucleotide ribosomal RNA is filed under the name uncultured bacterium. Its description in RNAcentral is "bacterial SSU rRNA". It matches the Rfam family "Bacterial small subunit ribosomal RNA", at positions 27 to 339 of the family's 1533-position model. The record is from RNAcentral.